AGUAAAAUGGCUGAAGGAAUAAGUGAUAAAUUGUAAAUUUAUUUAUAAAUAUUAAAAAUAUUUUUUUACUA
RNAcentral lists this transfer RNA (71 nucleotides) under Hydromanicus wulaianus. RNAcentral's name for it is "tRNA-Tyr". It matches the Rfam family "tRNA". Rfam says of the family: Transfer RNA (tRNA) molecules are approximately 80 nucleotides in length. Their secondary structure includes four short double-helical elements and three loops (D, anti-codon, and T loops). Further hydrogen bonds mediate the characteristic L-shaped molecular structure. tRNAs have two regions of fundamental functional importance: the anti-codon, which is responsible for specific mRNA codon recognition, and the 3' end, to which the tRNAs corresponding amino acid is attached (by aminoacyl-tRNA synthetases). tRNAs cope with the degeneracy of the genetic code in two manners: having more than one tRNA (with a specific anti-codon) for a particular amino acid; and 'wobble' base-pairing, i.e. permitting non-standard base-pairing at the 3rd anti-codon position. The record is from RNAcentral. Lineage: Eukaryota; Metazoa; Arthropoda; Insecta; Trichoptera; Hydropsychidae.